Molecule: long non-coding RNA, 1598 nt
Organism: Homo sapiens (human)
Lineage: Eukaryota; Metazoa; Chordata; Mammalia; Primates; Hominidae
Gene: FAM230I
Product: family with sequence similarity 230 member I
Exons: 12
Source: RefSeq, marked validated
CUGUGCUGAGUUUUUCGAAGGUCAGAGCAGAUUGAACCUUUGUGCUUUCAUUUUUCCUGAUUUUGAUUUUUCUUAUGGGGAUCCACUUUUCCUGCAUUCGAGGUGACUUGAAGAAGCCUUCCAAAAAGCGUGUGAAAAGGGAGCCCUACUCUACUACCAUGUUACAGGUGACUUCAUUGAGCCCAAUCAAUGAAAUUUUGAGAAGAUACAGCCUGUACACCAACCAGCAUUGGAGGCAUCAUGGCUUCUGGAGAAAGAAGAUACAGCCACAAGAAGCCUCUGAGGAGCCUCCAGCUCACAAGGACAGAGGAGGUGGAGAGAGGCCAGUCAACGCGAGGGUGGUGCGGGUGGCCCCUCUGAGGCCUGGUUUUGCUCUUUGUGGGUACGCUGUACAAGACAUCUCUAAAGAAGACACUGUAUAUGACAUCUGUAAUGAGGAUGCUGUAGACAUCUCUGAUGAGGACACUGUAGAUAUCUCUAAUGAGGCUUCUGUACAUGACAUCUCUAAUGAGGCUGCUGUAUGUGACAUCUCUAACGAUGCCGUAAACAUCUCUAAUGAGGCUGCUGUACGUGACAUCUCUAAUGACGCUGUAGACAUCUGUAAUGAGGCUGCUGUACAUGACAUCUCUAAUGAGGACACUAUAGAAGACAUUUCUUAUGAGGACACUGUAUACGACAUCACUAAUGAGGAUGCUGUACGAUACCUCUGUAAAAAAGAUGCUACCAAGGAGCCAUUGACACUGGAGAAUGAUUUGAUUGUGGAGAGCAUGUCUGAUGACGAGGAUUUUGCAGGUUUAUUGGCAUAAUAGUAAGAACUGUCUCUCUGGGCUAUGAGAGUGCUGUGUUAUUUGAAGCUUAAAGGGAGCUCCCGGGGUGAGUGAUGGAGGCGGGAUCGGACCCUGGCAGUUUGACGGCAACACCUGUGUUCCUCUGCACUGGGCCGUGGAUGACAUUACACACCUUGGUGAGAAUCAGGAAUUGAGGCUAAUCACAUCUGAAAUUGAGGGCUUAUGAUUUCUUCUCGGGUUUGAAACAUGCCCCCAGAUGAGCAAGACGGGGCUGCCACAUUGACGGAGCAGCUGCGGGACACACCCAAGAAACCUCCUGGAGAACACAGGGGACAUUCACGGCUGGAGGCUUCAUCUAUGGCCGGGGGCUUCAUCCAUGAGCUGGGGACUUCAUCCAUGGGCUGGGGACUUCAUCCAUGACUGGGGACCUCAUCCACGUCUGGAGACUUCAUCCGCGACUGGGGGCUUCAUCCAUGGGCUGGGGGAUUCAUCCACGGGCUGGGGGCUUCAUCCAUCACUGGGGGCUUCAUCCACGGGCUGGGGGCUUCAUCCAUGACUGGGGGCUUCAUCCACGGGCUGGGGGCUUCAUCCAUGGGCUGGGGGCUUCAUCCAUGACUGGGGGCUUCAUCCACGGGCUGGGGGCUUCAUCCAUGACUGGGGACUUCAUCCACGACUGGAGACUUCAUCCAUAGGCUGGGGGCUUCAUCUACAGCUGGAGACUUCAUCCACAGCAGGGGCUUCAUCCUUGGUUGGUUUGCCUGAUCUGUAUCUGAGCCACAGAUACAGAUUAUUAAACAGAUAAUAAUUUUA